Non-coding RNA from Pelobates cultripes (western spadefoot toad), 203 nucleotides. The record is from the annotation of a GenBank genome assembly. Lineage: Eukaryota; Metazoa; Chordata; Amphibia; Anura; Pelobatidae.
CAUGAAUUGCCUGGAACUAUUUUCGGCAAGGCAAACAUGCGAACGCCCGGUCUUCAUGGAAGUCCUGGAUGUAUACGUUCCCCUCCACGAAUCAAACUGGCAUUCGGUAGAUAGAAUCUACCGAAUGAGGGGAACAUUCGUAUGUAACCAGCUGCACCAUACGAACGGUGGUUUUCGUGUAGUUAGAUGCAAACAGAGACCGG